AUAAAUAUGGCGAAAUGGAUAAACGCACUAAAUUUAGGAUUUAGUUUUAAGAGUUCGAUUCUCUUUAUUUAUA
This 73-nucleotide transfer RNA is filed under the name Theileria orientalis. RNAcentral describes it as "tRNA-Leu". It matches the Rfam family "tRNA". Rfam says of the family: Transfer RNA (tRNA) molecules are approximately 80 nucleotides in length. Their secondary structure includes four short double-helical elements and three loops (D, anti-codon, and T loops). Lineage: Eukaryota; Apicomplexa; Aconoidasida; Piroplasmida; Theileriidae. The record is from RNAcentral.